Long non-coding RNA from Empidonax traillii (willow flycatcher), 241 nucleotides. RefSeq lists it as uncharacterized. NCBI's taxonomy places the organism in Eukaryota, Metazoa, Chordata, Aves, Passeriformes, Tyrannidae. The transcript is spliced from 2 exons. The record is from RefSeq and is a predicted model, not a curated record.
AGUCCACUGGGACAUUGAAACUGGGUCAGUGGGUUUCCACCUUCUGGUUUCCCAAGUGCUGUGUUGAGCAUUUGCAUUUAGUGCGGAAAGGGACAGUUCAUAGAGAAGAUGACAAGAUCAAAUCAGACUGAACUGAGUGAUCCAGUGUGGUCUCAGCAUCAAAUUUUAAGCUGUCUGUGUUCAAGAAGAAAAGCUGCCUAUUAAAGAAAUGAGAAAUAAAGUGGUCCUGAUAGUCCAGUCA